GAUGAAGAACGCAGCGAGAUGCGAUAAGUAAUGCGAAUUGCAGAAUUCAGUGAAUCAUCGAAUCUUUGAACGCACAUUGCGCCCGCCAGUAUUCUGGCGGGCAUGCCUGUCUGAGCGUCGUUUCGACCCUCGCGCCCGGCUUCUGUCGGGGGCGGUGUUGGGGAUCGGCCACACCCUUCAGUGGGAGGCCGGCCCCUAAAUUCAGUGGCGACCACGCUGUAGCCUCCCCUGCGUAGUACUAAAACCACCUCGCAGGCGGAGAGCGGUGCGGCCCGCCGUAAAACCCCCCAACUUUUACAAGGUCGACCUCAGAUCAGGUAGGAAUACCCGCUGAACUUAAGCAUAUCAAUAAGCGGAGGA
RNAcentral lists this unclassified non-coding RNA (360 nucleotides) under soil metagenome. RNAcentral's name for it is "partial contains 5.8S ribosomal RNA, internal transcribed spacer 2, and large subunit ribosomal RNA". The stretch from base 1 to 120 matches the Rfam family "5.8S ribosomal RNA", at positions 35 to 154 of the family's 154-position model. The record is from RNAcentral.